Molecule: long non-coding RNA, 641 nt
Filed under: Homo sapiens (human)
Lineage: Eukaryota; Metazoa; Chordata; Mammalia; Primates; Hominidae
Description: HSALNT0195742
Source: RNAcentral
GCGCAGCCUCUGCUUAUCACAGGGGAAUAAGGAAUACUCAUCCCUAACUGCUUAUUGACUUCUAUCCCGUGUUAGAGCUGUUUGGAAGUCUCUGAGUUAUAACGGCCUAAUAGUUUGAUAUUGGUCCUUGAAGCAGUUCAAUCUCUGAAUUGGCUCAGCAGUUCUGUUUUACAGCUGCAACUCUCUGGGCCAGUAAAAAAAGACAGAUUUCUAAUUUUUCCUUUCAUUCCAUGGACACCUGAGUGCUGGUUCUGUGUCAGACUCUGUGCUGUGAUACAGAGAUGAGGGCCUGAAUCUUGAAUGAUGUACUGCUCCCAGAGUGGCUAGCAUGUGUGUGGGGGUUACUUUUUGAGAAAGUCAUGGUUUUUCAGAGCCACAUUAUUGGAACCCAGUUUCCUUAAAUCAGUGUGGUGCCCAUAGUCACUCAGCCAGAAGGAUCACGUGAUCAGCCUGAAGGUACACUCAAGUGAGGUACUCACAUCCUUAGCCCACCAUAGGCCCCUAUGUCAGUCACCACAAUGGCGAGAUUUGAAAAGCGGAGGCAUAUACAAUUUUUGUCUUAGUAUAAUAUCAAUAUAUGUAUACUUUGGGGUUCAGGCACUUACUAAAUGUUGUUCCAUUCUUUUGUCUUGCUGUAUCAA